This 492-nucleotide ribosomal RNA is filed under the name uncultured bacterium. Its description in RNAcentral is "partial 16S ribosomal RNA". It matches the Rfam family "Bacterial small subunit ribosomal RNA", at positions 29 to 507 of the family's 1533-position model. The record is from RNAcentral.
AGUGAACGCUGGCGGUAGGCCUAACACAUGCCAGUCGAACGGCAGCACAGUAAGAGCUUGCUCUUACGGGUGGCGAGUGGCGGACUGGUGAGGAAUACAUCGGAAUCUACUUUUUCGUGGGGGAUAACGUAGGGAAACUUACGCUAAUACCGCAUACGACCUACGGGUGAAAGCAGGGGAUCUUCGGACCUUGCGCGAUUGAAUGAGCCGAUGUCGGAUUAGCUAGUUGGCGGGGUAAAGGCCCACCAAGGCGACGAUCCGUAGCUGGUCUGAGAGGAUGAUCAGCCACACUGGAACUGAGACACGGUCCAGACUCCUACGGGAGGCAGCAGUGGGGAAUAUUGGACAAUGGGCGCAAGCCUGAUCCAGCCAUACCGCGUGGGUGAAGAAGGCCUUCGGGUUGUAAAGCCCUUUUGUUGGGAAAGAAAAGCAGCAGGUUAAUACCCCGCUGUUCUGACGGUACCCAAAGAAUAAGCACCGGCUAACUUCGUG